AUACCUUCUAAUAGAAAACUUUUGACAUUUAGUUUCGUGUUAUUUUUAAUUUUCUUUCAUUCUUUAUGAAAUGAAUUAUGACACUUUUACAGUGCAAUUUUUCAAAGCAAAAUAUGAUAUUUAAGACAAAAAUGUUCAUAGGAAAUGCAGCGUAUCCUCUAAAAAAGUAAGUUCCAAGCUUUUAAUUUUGCAAAAUAAAACAAUUCGUUUGGGAUUUUAAGAAACAAAAACCUUUAUAAUGAAGUAAUUCAAGUCCAUUUUAAGGAAUAAACAAUAAAUUAAGUAAUAUUGCAGGUGUAACAAUUAUUGAUUGUUUGUAUAGUUUGUAUAGUUCCUUGAACUUCGUGGUUCUCCUCUGGCAG
Eupeodes corollae is the source of this 362-nucleotide long non-coding RNA. RefSeq lists it as uncharacterized. The record is from RefSeq and is a predicted model, not a curated record. Lineage: Eukaryota; Metazoa; Arthropoda; Insecta; Diptera; Syrphidae. The transcript has 3 exons.